ACGAUGGCUAAUACCGGAUGUCUUCAUCGGAUCGCAUGAUCUGAUGAAGAAAUGGAUUCCGCUUCAGGAUGGUCUCGCGGCCUAUCAGCUUGUUGGUGGGGUAAUGGCCUACCAAGGCAUCGACGGGUAGCUGGUCUGAGAGGAUGUCCAGCCACACUGGGACUGAGACACGGCCCAGACUCCUACGGGAGGCAGCAGUGGGGAAUCUUGCACAAUGGGCGAAAGCCUGAUGCAGCGACGCCGCGUGCGGGAUGAAGGCCUUCGGGUUGUAAACCGCUUUCAGUAGGGAAGAUAAUGACGGUACCUACAGAAKAAGCCCCGGCCAACUACGUGCCAGCAGCCGCGGUAAUACGUAGGGGGCGAGCGUUGUCCGGAUUUAUUGGGCGUAAAGAGCUCGUAGGCGGUUUGGUAAGUCAAAUGUGAAAUCUCCACGCUCAACG
Molecule: ribosomal RNA, 440 nt
Filed under: uncultured bacterium
Lineage: Bacteria
Description: bacterial SSU rRNA
Rfam family: Bacterial small subunit ribosomal RNA
Source: RNAcentral